UGUCAUUAAAUUGCAGUUUGUUGUUCAUAGUACGUGUUCAGUCUUGAAAAUAGCACGUAGACAAGUUGGUAGUUUGCUACGAUUAUGAAUGAGAAAAAGUACCUCAAAAUAUACAGACUGGCAUGUAUCGAGAUUUUCCAAAUACGAUUCGUCAAUUUGAUACUGUAUAAUUUGAUCAUCCUUUUGGCAAUUACGGCUAUAUUUCAGUGUGUUCUGUUUGUGCAGAAAUUUCAACUGGACUACUUUAUUCAGCUAGGACCUUCUUAUUUUUUAACAUUAUAUAUGCUAACCACCUUAAUUUACGUGCCUAUAUGCAAAAAAAUGGCACCGGAAUUUGUCCAGGACUUGAAAUUUGGGGAAAUACACAGUGACAGUGAUACAGUUUGCAAACAAAACGAAAAAGAAUUAGCUCACGCUGUUGCAUACAUGAUCAUUAGUUUCGUCCUUGCAGCGAUUUCUGGAAUCUUAUUUACCAUUCCAUCGGAAAAGGACCCAGAUAUAUUUUUUAUUUAUUCUUUGAUUCAACAACAUUUUCCAGAGUGGAAAUAUUUACUGACAUGGGGAUUUAAAUGUUCAGUAGUACCUUUGGCCUGUAUAACAACAAUGUCACCAGCACAUUACCUUAUUUACGGGUUAGUACACUUUAAAUUACAAGAAAACGUACUGCUGCACAACAUAGAAAACAUUAACGGAAAUUACGACAACGAUGAAUUUCUGGACCCGGAAUCGCAGAACGUCAUCAACGAAAGGUUGCUGUCCUGUUUGAAGCAUCACAUCAAAAUUUCCAGAGCUACUAGAACAGUUCUAAGAAAAACCAAAUAUUUGGUGCUUCCUUUAGUACUCGAAGGAUGUCUUAUGUUUAUAAAUAUUGUGAUCCACGUGUUUACGGUGGACGAAAUUCAAUCGCAAUUGUGGUGCUGGCAGUUGUUGUUGCUUACAUUGUGUUCGUUUUUCACGUUAGGUGGACUUAGUGCUUAUGGUCAGAAAAUUGAAGAUGCGGUUAGUCGGACGAUAUUUUUUAUCGGUUAGUGAACGUCAAGUGGUAUAACUGGAACCAAGAGAAUAAGAAACUGUAUUUAAUGUUUUUGACAAAUACCCAGAAACCUUUCAGACUGCAUUUCUCUGAGGAUGUUUCGAUUAAUUAUCGACAAGGUGUUGAGAUUGGUAAAACGUUCUUCACAUUCAUGUCUGUUGCAAAUCAGCUACAUAAGAAAGUUAAUCAUUAAUUAGAG
Molecule: RNA transcript, 1232 nt
Organism: Zophobas morio
Lineage: Eukaryota; Metazoa; Arthropoda; Insecta; Coleoptera; Tenebrionidae
Exons: 7
Source: RefSeq, a predicted model, not a curated record